CAGUAGCCGCGGUAACACGAAGGGUGCAAGCGUUACUCGGAAUUACUGGGCGUAAGGCGUGCGUAGGUGGUGGUUUAAGUCCGUUGUGAAAGCCCUGGGCUCAACCUGGGAAUUGCAGUGGAUACUGGGUCACUAGAGUGUGGCAGAGGAUAGUGGAAUUUCCGGUGUAGCAGUGAAAUGCGUAGAGAUCGGAAGGAACAUCUGUGGCGAAGGCGACUAUCUGGGCCAACACUGACACUGAGGCACGAAAGCGUGGGGAGCAAACAGGAUUAGAUACCCCAGUAGUCCCUGUCUCUUAUAC
This 301-nucleotide ribosomal RNA is filed under the name uncultured bacterium. RNAcentral describes it as "partial 16S ribosomal RNA". It matches the Rfam family "Bacterial small subunit ribosomal RNA", at positions 509 to 807 of the family's 1533-position model. The record is from RNAcentral.